Long non-coding RNA from Drosophila miranda, 580 nucleotides. RefSeq lists it as uncharacterized. The transcript has 2 exons. The record is from RefSeq and is a predicted model, not a curated record. NCBI's taxonomy places the organism in Eukaryota, Metazoa, Arthropoda, Insecta, Diptera, Drosophilidae.
CUGUGUAUCCUAGGGGUGUGGGACGCAAGCCGCACCGGGUAUUCCUAACCUGAGUUGCUGCGCCUCAUUCCGAGCUUACAGUUGAACGAGCCAACCCGCCAUCCGUUUAUCCCCCUGUAGCACCCGAAGGCUGACGGCUUUUUUGACCAUUAAAAGUUAAAUUUUCAAAAUGCAUGCUGUUACUCACAGCUCGUCAGACAUGUUAAAUAUACAGGUGUUGCAUCUAAGAUAUUUUGAUUUUCUGAAAUCGCCCACUUUCUGCCGUCGUUUUGGUUCAAAACAAGCAAUUGAGAAAAUAAAAGCAGGCAAAGCAGCCUGUCAGCUGUUUUUUUUUUUGUCAAAAACGAUGACAAAAAUAUGUUAAACCGGGAGCCGGUUAAAAAAAACUAAACGUAUUGGAUGAAAACGUAAUCCGCAAAAAUAUUUCUUGUCUUCCAAAUUAAACGAGUGAUACAACAAAUCAUCGGUUCAGAGGAGGAAACUCAAAAUUGGACUAAAAAUGAAAGGCCGGCGGUAUUAUGGAAUGGAACAUUAUAUGUACUCUUAAUAUUGUAUACCUAUUAAAAAAGAUGACUGGUAA